AAUGGGCGAAAGCCUGAUCCAGCAAUGCCGCGUGAGUGAAGAAGGCCUUAGGGUUGUAAAGCUCUUUCGCCUGCGACGAUGAUGACGGUAGCAGGAGAAGAAGCCCCGGCUAAUUCCGUGCCAGCAGCCGCGGUAAUACGGAAGGGGCUAGCGUUGUUCGGAAUCACUGGGCGUAAAGCGCGCGUAGGCGGCUUGGCAAGUGAGGCGUGAAAGUCCUGGGCUCAACCCGGGGACUGCGCUUCAGACUGCUUGGCUUGAGUCCGGAAGAGGGUGGUGGAAUUCCGAGUGUAGAGGUGAAAUUCGUAGAUAUUCGGAGGAACACCGGCGGCGAAGGCGGCCACCUGGUCCGGAACUGACGCUCAAGUGCGAAAGCGUGGGGAGCAAA
Molecule: ribosomal RNA, 385 nt
Filed under: uncultured bacterium
Lineage: Bacteria
Description: bacterial SSU rRNA
Rfam family: Bacterial small subunit ribosomal RNA
Source: RNAcentral